Molecule: ribosomal RNA, 1435 nt
Filed under: uncultured organism
Description: SSU rRNA
Rfam family: Bacterial small subunit ribosomal RNA
Source: RNAcentral
GCUACAGGCUUAACACAUGCAAGUCGAGGGGCAUCAGGAAGAAAGCUUGCUUUCUUUGCUGGCGACCGGCGCACGGGUGAGUAACACGUAUCCAACCUGCCCUUUACUCGGGGAUAGCCUUUCGAAAGAAAGAUUAAUACCCGAUGGCAUAAUGAUUCCGCAUGGUUUCAUUAUUAAAGGAUUCCGGUAAAGGAUGGGGAUGCGUUCCAUUAGGUUGUUGGUGAGGUAACGGCUCACCAAGCCUUCGAUGGAUAGGGGUUCUGAGAGGAAGGUCCCCCACAUUGGAACUGAGACACGGUCCAAACUCCUACGGGAGGCAGCAGUGAGGAAUAUUGGUCAAUGGGCGCUAGCCUGAACCAGCCAAGUAGCGUGAAGGAUGAAGGCUCUAUGGGUCGUAAACUUCUUUUAUAUAAGAAUAAAGUGCAGUAUGUAUACUGUUUUGUAUGUAUUAUAUGAAUAAGGAUCGGCUAACUCCGUGCCAGCAGCCGCGGUAAUACGGAGGAUCCGAGCGUUAUCCGGAUUUAUUGGGUUUAAAGGGAGCGUAGGUGGACUGGUAAGUCAGUUGUGAAAGUUUGCGGCUCAACCGUAAAAUUGCAGUUGAUACUGUCAGUCUUGAGUACAGUAGAGGUGGGCGGAAUUCGUGGUGUAGCGGUGAAAUGCUUAGAUAUCACGAAGAACUCCGAUUGCGAAGGCAACUCACUGGACUGCAACUGACACUGAUGCUCGAAAGUGUGGGUAUCAAACAGGAUUAGAUACCCUGGUAGUCCACACAGUAAACGAUGAAUACUCGCUGUUUGCGAUAUACAGUAAGCGGCCAAGCGAAAGCAUUAAGUAUUCCACCUGGGGGGUACGCCGGCAACGGUGAAACUCAAAGGAAUUGACGGGGGCCCGCACAAGCGGAGGAACAUGUGGUUUAAUUCGAUGAUACGCGAGGAACCUUACCCGGGCUUAAAUUGCAGUGGAAUGAUGUGGAAACAUGUCAGUGAGCAAUCACCGCUGUGAAGGUGCUGCAUGGUUGUCGUCAGCUCGUGCCGUGAGGUGUCGGCUUAAGUGCCAUAACGAGCGCAACCCUUAUCUUUAGUUACUAACAGGUCAUGCUGAGGACUCUAGAGAGACUGCCGUCGUAAGAUGUGAGGAAGGUGGGGAUGACGUCAAAUCAGCACGGCCCUUACGUCCGGGGCUACACACGUGUUACAAUGGGGGGUACAGAAGGCAGCUAGCGGGUGACCGUAUGCUAAUCCCAAAAUCCUCUCUCAGUUCGGAUCGAAGUCUGCAACCCGACUUCGUGAAGCUGGAUUCGCUAGUAAUCGCGCAUCAGCCACGGCGCGGUGAAUACGUUCCCGGGCCUUGUACACACCGCCCGUCAAGCCAUGGGAGCCGGGGGUACCUGAAGUACGUAACCGCAAGGAUCGUCCUAGGGUAAAACUGGUGACUG